CGGGCGUUAAGUUGCAGGGUAUAGACCCGAAACCCGGUGAUCUAGCCAUGGGCAGGUUGAAGGUUGGGUAACACUAACUGGAGGACCGAACCGACUAAUGUUGAAAAAUUAGCGGAUGACCUGUGGCUGGGGGUGAAAGGCCAAUCAAACCGGGAGAUAGCUGGUUCUCCCCGAAAGCUAUUUAGGUAGCGCCUCGUGAAUUCAUCUCCGGGGGUAGAGCACUGUUUCGGCUAGGGGGCCAUCCCGGCUUACCAACCCGAUGCAAACUGCGAAUACCGGAGAAUGUUAUCACGGGAGACACACGGCGGGUGCUAACGUCCGUCGUGAAGAGGGAAACAACCCAGACCGCCAGCUAAGGUCCCAAAGUCAUGGUUAAGUGGGAAACGAUGUGGGAAGGCCCAGACAGCCAGGAUGUUGGCUUAGAAGCAGCCAUCAUUUAAAGAAAGCGUAAUAGCUCACUGGUCGAGUCGGCCUGCGCGGAAGAUGUAACGGGGCUAAACCAUGCACCGAAGCUGCGGCAGCGACACUGUGUGUUGUUGGGUAGGGGAGCGUUCUGUAAG
This 560-nucleotide ribosomal RNA is filed under the name Salmonella enterica. RNAcentral describes it as "partial 23S ribosomal RNA". It matches the Rfam family "Bacterial large subunit ribosomal RNA", at positions 689 to 1247 of the family's 2925-position model. RNAcentral also lists the same sequence under 1 other name. The record is from RNAcentral. Lineage: Bacteria; Pseudomonadati; Pseudomonadota; Gammaproteobacteria; Enterobacterales; Enterobacteriaceae.